RNAcentral lists this ribosomal RNA (378 nucleotides) under uncultured bacterium. RNAcentral's name for it is "bacterial SSU rRNA". It matches the Rfam family "Bacterial small subunit ribosomal RNA", at positions 521 to 896 of the family's 1533-position model. The record is from RNAcentral.
UAAUACGUAGGGAGCAAGCGUUGUUCGGAUUUACUGGGCGUAAAGGGCGCGUAGGCGGCGCGACAAGUCACUUGUGAAAUCUCCGGGCUUAACUCGGAACGGUCAAGUGAAACUGUCAUGCUAGAGUGCAGAAGGGGCAAUCGGAAUUCUUGGUGUAGCGGUGAAAUGCGUAGAUAUCAAGAGGAACACCUGAGGUGAAGACGGGUUGCUGGGCUGACACUGACGCUGAGGCGCGAAAGCCAGGGGAGCAAACGGGAUUAGAUACCCCGGUAGUCCUGGCCCUAAACGAUGAAUACUUGGUGUCUGGAGUUAUUAUCGCUCCGGGUGCCGUCGCUAACGUUUUAAGUAUUCCGCCUGGGGAGUACGCACGCAAGUGUG